Long non-coding RNA from Amphimedon queenslandica, 1297 nucleotides. RefSeq lists it as uncharacterized. The record is from RefSeq and is a predicted model, not a curated record. The transcript has 4 exons. NCBI's taxonomy places the organism in Eukaryota, Metazoa, Porifera, Demospongiae, Haplosclerida, Niphatidae.
GUAUCGGCAAUUCUUGAGCAAUAACAAUUAAGUCGUGGGUUCCAACUAAGAAAAGAAGCGAAGGAUAACAAUAACAAUAAUGACAAAUGGACAAACAUCAGACGAAGGAAAGAAGGUCAGAAAAGGUGCAAUGAUUGGAGGAGCCAGUGGAGCCGCCAUAGGAGUAAUAGGAGGACCAAUUGGAAUAGUUAUUGGAGGAGCAGUAGGGGCUGGAGUAGGUGCAUUAGUGGGGUAUCUGAAAUUUCAACACUCACACUAACAGCACAAGAAAUAUUAGUAUUGUACUGCUUGUACAUGUACAUGUACAUGUAUGUCAAAAUUGUCAAACUGAGAAAUUUAACGAAGAUAUAAAAUAAAUGAAAUAAUUAUUGUACAUGUACAUGUAUGUGAUUGUUUUGUGGUGAAUACGUUUAGUGAAUCCAUUAGUGAAUGCAUUAGUGGUGAUACCCAGAGUCAUUGUAAGCCAUUCCUACUGUCUGGAGAAUGGGCGUCAAUGUUAUAGGCCCAACCAAUGAAAAACAACACGUGAUAUGGAGGACUCUCCCUUGAGGAUUCAUGACAACGCCUAACCAAAUCAGACGUAAAAACAAUUCUUGACACCAAAAAGUGACAAAAUGCCAGGAGGGAAUACCUCAGAUGAAGGAAAUCUGGUAGGAAUUGUGAAGAGAGGAUUUGAAGGAGCAGGAGAAGGUGCAAUAAUAGGAAUAUAUGGUGGACCACCUGGGAUAAUCAUUUGCACUCUUGUUGGGUUUGCUGUUGGAAUUUUUAAGAAUAAUAAAGUUUUCAAUUCUUCCAAGACAUAAUAUCAUGUGUUUUUAAAUGCAUUAUAAAAAUUAAACCAAUUGUAAAGUAAAUACCAUGUACAAUGCAAAAGGCCAUUAAAGGAGCAACGUUCAUUUAUCGACACAACCUACACUGCAAACUACUCCCACUGUAUAAAGAUGGGAGUCAACUUUAAAAUGGGUACAGCCUACAAUAUUACCCGUAAAGUAAACAGCAUUAGGGGAAUACUCAGCAAAAGCUCUCGGAAAGUGAAGUAAAAGCAAACGCUUUGACUUUAAAACAAUCCAGCAAAGUACGAGCCUUAUCAUUCUAAAUUAAAAUGCCAGGACCGAAUACACCAAAAGAAGCAGAGAAUACAGCCAUAGGUGCUGUGUCUGGAGGAGGAACUGGAGCCAUCAUAGGAACAUUUGUUGCUGGACCUGUUGGAACUGUAGUUGGUGGAUUGGUUGGAGCUGGUGUUGGUGCUGUUGUUGGACUCUUUGCAUCAAAAUAGCUUCUUUUUUAAUAUACACAA